UUGGACAGACUAGAUAAUAGACUUCUCAAUUCUUUUCGAUAGUUCAGUAUUUAUGUUUUCCUCUCAUAAUUAGAGUUUGAUUGUCAUGGCUGGAGGUACGUGUUAUUGAGCUUCAAUUUUUAAUUUAUUGAAACUUCAUGAUAAUAUUACUAACACGAAGAAGUCCAACAAAGGCGUAGGUUUGGAUGUUUGGUAUAUCUAAAAGGCGUGAAUUUGUUAUGGAUAAAAAGGGACGUGCUACUAGGAAAGGAUUUGAGGAUUGAAAUAAGAAAAAUCCACUAUUUAUUAAAGUAUUCAAAGAAAAAGAAUAAGAUUAGUGAAGUCGAGAAACAUUACUAUAUUUUAACC
RNAcentral lists this long non-coding RNA (348 nucleotides) under Populus trichocarpa (black cottonwood). RNAcentral's name for it is "long non-coding RNA (PTRI_LNC000700)". Lineage: Eukaryota; Viridiplantae; Streptophyta; Magnoliopsida; Malpighiales; Salicaceae. The record is from RNAcentral.